RNAcentral lists this ribosomal RNA (267 nucleotides) under Triticum aestivum (bread wheat). RNAcentral's name for it is "partial small subunit ribosomal RNA". Lineage: Eukaryota; Viridiplantae; Streptophyta; Magnoliopsida; Poales; Poaceae. The record is from RNAcentral.
AUGGCUCGCGCGGGGCAAGGAGGCGGGAUGGGGAGCGCGGUGAACGUGGGGAUCGCGGUGCAGGCGGACUGGGAGAACCGCGAGUUCAUCUCCAACAUCUCCCUCAACGUCCGCCGCCUCUUCGACUUCCUCCUCCGAUUCGAGGCCACGACGAAGAGCAAGCUGGCGUCGUUGAACGAGAAACUAGACAGCCUGGAGCGGAAGCUGGAGGUGCUGGAGGUCCAAGUGAGCAGCGCCACCACCAACCCCUCCGUUUUUAACAACUAG